Small nucleolar RNA from Otolemur garnettii (small-eared galago), 101 nucleotides. The record is from Ensembl. Lineage: Eukaryota; Metazoa; Chordata; Mammalia; Primates; Galagidae.
GACCACUUGUAGUUCACAACUGUGAUGGUUGGGUUUUUAGGCUCACGUGUGAGAUUGUGUCUCCCUCAAACCUUGUUACCACAUCAUCAUAUUAUCUGACU